RNAcentral lists this long non-coding RNA (478 nucleotides) under Mytilus galloprovincialis (Mediterranean mussel). The record is from RNAcentral. Lineage: Eukaryota; Metazoa; Mollusca; Bivalvia; Mytilida; Mytilidae.
AUUAUGUUGUCAUUUCAAUGUUAUAUUUAACUUUGCCAUUAAAGUGCGAGGUUUGGCAUGCCAUAAAACCAGGUUCAACCCACCACUUUUAUUCCCCUUUAAAAGUGUCCUGUACCAAGUCAGGAAGAUGGCCAUUGUUAUAAUAUUGUUCGUUUCUGUGUGUGUGUUGCAUUUUAACGUUGAGUCGUUUGUGUUUUCUCUUAUUUUUUAGAUAAGACGUGGCACGGUACUUGUCUAUCCCAAAUUCAUGUAUUUGGUUUUGAUGUUAUAUUUGUUAUUCUCGUGGUGUUUUGUCUAUUGCUUGGUCCGUUUCUGUGUGUGUUGCGUUUCGGUGUUGUGUCGUUGUUCUCCUCUUAUAUUUAAUGCGUUUCCCUCGGUUUUAGUUUGUUACCCCGAUUUUGUUUUUUGUCCAUGGAUUUAUGAGUUUUGAACAGCGGUAUACUACUGUUGCCUUUAUUUAUCUAUGUUUCAAAUUUUA